Molecule: ribosomal RNA, 258 nt
Filed under: uncultured Alphaproteobacteria bacterium
Lineage: Bacteria; Pseudomonadati; Pseudomonadota; Alphaproteobacteria
Description: partial 16S ribosomal RNA
Rfam family: Bacterial small subunit ribosomal RNA
Source: RNAcentral
AACGAACGCUGGCGGCAGGCCUAACACAUGCAAGUCGAACGAACCCCUCGGGGUGAGUGGCGCACGGGUGCGUAACACGUGGGAAUAUACCCUUCCAGUAAGGAAUAACUCAGAGAAAUUUAGUUGCUAAUACCUUAUAAUGACUCCGGUCCAAAGAUUUAUCGCUGAAGGAUUAGCCCGCGCCUGAUUAGGUAGUUGGUGAGGUAAGAGCUCACCAAGCCGACGAUCAGUAGCUGGUUUGAGAGGAUGAUCAGCCAC